AAUGUUUGCUUUCGAUUCGAUAGGCACAUUCGCGGUGGAUCUCUGAGAUUUGAAUAGUUAUAAGUCGAGUUGUGAUAUUGUCAAAAAUGGCGAGUAACUGUUCAGUAAAAUAUUGCGAAAAUGAGAAUGAAAAAACAAAAGAUAGAGGGAUAAGAUAUUUUAAAUUUCCUAAAGAUCCAGAAACUGCAGCUAAGUGGGUGAAAGCCUGUAGCAAGAAGAAUAUUGACCUUAACUGCGCUCAUGUAUGUUCUGUUCACUUUCAAGAAGAUUGCUUUAUAAAAAAUCCAGAUGAUCUAAAUGUAUCUGGUGACACCAAUAUAUUCCAACUUUCAAAAUUUGCUGUUCCGACAAAAAAAUUACCAAGCAAUAAUAAUGCAAGUUGUGAGAAAGCUCAAACUGUUUUGGAUCAAUAUUUUACAUACGAUGAUGACGAACAGGAAUCCUAUUUAAAGGAUCAGGGUGAAACAAUAACUGAUUUAGGAAAACAACCUGUUGCAGACAUUAACAAAUUGGAAGACAAAUUAAAGGAUCAGGGUAUUACACUAAUUGAUUUUAAGCGCAAGAAACAUAAUAAUAGUAUUUUACAAGGCAAAAUAGAUAAUCUUGAUCCAUUACCAUCUUCUCAUAAUGUAUCUGUUUCGUUAAACAAUGCAUCAGGUUUUUCUAUCCCUUUGACAGCUUUUAAUGUUAAUCUUUGUUCAACAAAAAAAGAACAAACUAUUUCGAAGGAUCCUUAUGAUUUCAAAGAAUUGCAAGGCAUUUUAGAGGAACAGGGUACUACAAUAACCAAUUUGAGAGAAAAACAUAAUUGUAAGAUAAGUGAAUCUCAGAAUGAAAAAGGGAGUCCUGUUCAUGAAACUAAAGAUGAAGAAUUAAAAUUAAAAAACAUGUAUUUAGAAAGAGAAAUCUAUGCAUUGAAAGCUAUUAAUGCUGAAAUGAUAACCAAACAUCAGUUGUUAACAGCAGAAAAUGUAAUAUUAAAAAAAGUCGUUACUGAACAAAAAAAAUAAGUUACUUCGAUAUAAAAAUUAGUGUACAAUAUUUUAAAAAAGACAGGUCGGAUAAUCAAUGAGAUAUCAGAAACGAAUUGUAAAAUUUUCAAAAAAGAAAAUUCUGGAAAUUGAACAUCAUUGUAUUUCAUCAUUUGUACUUCAAAUCAGUCAUAUUGCCAAAUAUUAAGAAGUAUAUCAAAGAAAAUUAGUUUUAUGUAAGUAGCAAAUAUCUUUGGUUAAAAGAUUAAUUAUGACAGAUCAUCAUUUUGCUCUUUGAUCUCGUUUGUUAUUAUGACUAUGUGAUAAAUGUACAAAACUUUAAGCUGUGUUUAAUAUGUAAAAUUUUUUUUAUGCUGUAAUUAUGUUUGUAAAUACAUUAAUGAUAAGUAAUGUAUAAUUCUAUUUUUUUUUCUUAUAAAUAUCAUUACAAAAUAUUUAAUUGUGUAUCCAAGUUUUUACUAAAUUUACAAAAAAAAAAAAAUGCAUUUGUUCCUCUUAAUAUUUGCAAUUGAUUACAUAGCUUUUUGAUGAUGAAAUAUUAGAAUCUAAUAAUCCUGGUAGGAACAUAUUUAUUUCGCACAUUAAUUUAGGAUAUUAUAUUUAAUAAUACUUCGUAAUAUGAAUCGUACAGUCAUAUGCUAGAUUGGAAAGAAAAUUGAUAAGACAUCUUUAUAGACAUACACUAUACUUCCAUGCGAAACAUUAUGCUUAGAUAAGUAAACGGAAAUUCCAGCUACUGA
Molecule: RNA transcript, 1732 nt
Organism: Nasonia vitripennis (jewel wasp)
Lineage: Eukaryota; Metazoa; Arthropoda; Insecta; Hymenoptera; Pteromalidae
Exons: 8
Source: RefSeq, a predicted model, not a curated record